Molecule: ribosomal RNA, 436 nt
Filed under: uncultured bacterium
Lineage: Bacteria
Description: bacterial SSU rRNA
Rfam family: Bacterial small subunit ribosomal RNA
Source: RNAcentral
AACGCGAAGAACCUUACCAGCCCUUGACAUGUCCUCUAUGGAUUCCAGAGACGGAAUCCUUCACUUCGGGUGGGAGGAACACAGGUGCUGCAUGGCUGUCGUCAGCUCGUGUCGUGAGAUGUUGGGUUAAGUCCCGCAACGAGCGCAACCCUCGGCCUUAGUUGCCAUCAUUCAGUUGGGCACUCUAGGGCGACUGCCGGUGAUAAGCCGGAGGAAGGUGGGGAUGACGUCAAGUCCUCAUGGCCCUUACGGGCUGGGCUACACACGUGCUACAAUGGCGGUGACAGAGGGACGCAAAAGGGCGACCUUUCGCAAAUCUCAAAAAGCCGUCUCAGUUCGGAUUGGGGUCUGCAACUCGACCCCAUGAAGUUGGAAUCGCUAGUAAUCGCAGAUCAGCACGCUGCGGUGAAUACGUUCCCGGGUCUUGUACACACCG